AUUGAACGCUGGCGGCAGGCCUAACACAUGCAAGUCGAGCGGAUGAGCGGAGCUUGCUCCUUGAUUUAGCGGCGGACGGGUGAGUAAUGCCUAGGAAUCUGCCUGGUAGUGGGGGAUAACGUUCCGAAAGGAACGCUAAUACCGCAUACGUCCUACGGGAGAAAGCAGGGGACCUUCGGGCCUUGCGCUAUCAGAUGAGCCUAGGUCGGAUUAGCUAGUUGGUGAGGUAAUGGCUCACCAAGGCGACGAUCCGUAACUGGUCUGAGAGGAUGAUCAGUCACACUGGAACUGAGACACGGUCCAGACUCCUACGGGAGGCAGCAGUGGGGAAUAUUGGACAAUGGGCGAAAGCCUGAUCCAGCCAUGCCGCGUGUGUGAAGAAGGUCUUCGGAUUGUAAAGCACUUUAAGUUGGGAGGAAGGGCGGUAAGCUAAUACCUUGCUGUUUUGACGUUACCGACAGAAUAAGCACCGGCUAACUUCGUG
This 484-nucleotide ribosomal RNA is filed under the name uncultured bacterium. RNAcentral's name for it is "partial 16S ribosomal RNA". It matches the Rfam family "Bacterial small subunit ribosomal RNA", at positions 30 to 507 of the family's 1533-position model. The record is from RNAcentral.